This 1018-nucleotide ribosomal RNA is filed under the name uncultured organism. RNAcentral's name for it is "bacterial SSU rRNA". It matches the Rfam family "Bacterial small subunit ribosomal RNA", at positions 417 to 1441 of the family's 1533-position model. The record is from RNAcentral.
CUUGGGUUGUAAACCUCUUUUUCUCAGGGCAGAAGCUCUGACGGUACCUGAGGAAUCAGCCUCGGCUAACUCCGUGCCAGCAGCCGCGGUAAUACGGAGGAGGCACGCGUUAUCCGGAAUUUAUUGGGCCGUAAAGCGUUCCGCAGGUGGCGAAUUCAAGUCUGCUGUCCAAGCACGGGGCUUAACUCCGUUAAGGCAGUGGCACCUGCAUAAGCUAAAGUGCCGUAAGGGGUAGAGGGAAUUCCCGCUGGAGCCGCUGAAAUGCGUAGAGAUCGGGAAGAACAUCGGUGGCGAAAGCGCUCUACUGGACGGCAACUGACACUCAGGGACGAAAAGCUAGGGGAGCGAAUGGGAUUAGAUACCCCAGUAGUCCUAGCUGUAAACGAUGGAUACUAGGUGUAGCUUGUAUCGACCCGAGCUGUGCCGAAGCUAACGCGUUAAGUAUCCCGCCUGGGGAGUACGCACGCAAGUGUGAAACUCAAAGGAAUUGACGGGGGCCCGCACAAGCGGUGGAGUAUGUGGUCUAAUUCGAUGCAACGCGAAGAACCUUACCAGGGCUUGACAUGUCCGGAAUCCCGGUGAAAGCUGGGAGUGCCUUCGGGAGCCGGUACACAGGUGGUGCAUGGCUGUCGUCAGCUCGUGUCGUGAGAUGUUGGGUUAAGUCCCGCAACGAGCGCAACCCUCGUCUUUAGUUGCCAGCAUUAAGUUGGGCACUCUAGAGAGACUGCCGGUGACAAACCGGAGGAAGGUGGGGAUGACGUCAAGUCAGCAUGCCCCUUACGCUCUGGGCGACACACGUACUACAAUGGUCGGGACAGAGGGCAGCGAACCUGCGAAGGCAAGCUAAUCCCAGCAAACUCGGCCUCAGUUCAGAUCGCAGGCUGCAACUCGCCUGCGUGAAGGAGGAAUCGCUAGUUAUCGCCGCUCAGUAUACGGCGGUGAUACGUUCCCGGGCCUUGUACACACCGCCCGUCACACCAUGGAAGCUGGCCACGCCACGAAGUCGUUACCCUAACCU